GACGAACGCUGGCGGCGUGCUUAACACAUGCAAGUCGAACGGAAAGGCCCUGCUUUUGUGGGGUGCUCGAGUGGCGAACGGGUGAGUAACACGUGAGUAACCUGCCCUUGACUUUGGGAUAACUUCAGGAAACUGGGGCUAAUACCGGAUAGGAGCUCCUGCCGCAUGGUGGGGGUUGGUAAGUUUCGGCGGUUGGGGAUGGACUCGCGGCUUAUCAGCUUGUUGGUGGGGUAGUGGCUUACCAAGGCUUUGACGGGUAGCCGGCCUGAGAGGGUGACCGGCCACAUUGGGACUGAGAUACGGCCCAGACUCCUACGGGAGGCAGCAGUGGGGAAUAUUGCACAAUGGGCGGAAGCCUGAUGCAGCAACGCCGCGUGCGGGAUGACGGCCUUCGGGUUGUAAACCGCUUUCGCCUGUGACGAAGCGUGAGUGACGGUAAUGGGUAAAGAAGCACCGGCUAACUACGUG
This 468-nucleotide ribosomal RNA is filed under the name uncultured bacterium. RNAcentral describes it as "partial 16S ribosomal RNA". It matches the Rfam family "Bacterial small subunit ribosomal RNA", at positions 28 to 507 of the family's 1533-position model. The record is from RNAcentral.